This 1680-nucleotide ribosomal RNA is filed under the name Nematobrycon palmeri (emperor tetra). RNAcentral describes it as "16S ribosomal RNA". It matches the Rfam family "Bacterial large subunit ribosomal RNA". Lineage: Eukaryota; Metazoa; Chordata; Actinopteri; Characiformes; Acestrorhamphidae. The record is from RNAcentral.
GCUAAACAGCUAGCUCAACCACCAAAGUUUUUUCAUCAUUAUUUUUAAAUCUUUAAUAAAUUCUUAUCAUAAACAAACAAAUCAUUUUCCUGCCUUAGUAUGGGCGACAGAAAAGGCACCAGAAGCUAUAGAAUUAGUACCGCAAGGGAAAGCUGAAAAAGAAAUGAAAUAAUUUAUUUAAGCCUAAAAAAGCAGAGAUUUACCCUCGUACCUUUUGCAUCAUGGUCUAGCUAGAAAUUAGAGAGCAAAGAGAAACUUUAGUUCUUAUCCCCGAAACCAAGUGAGCUACCCCAAGACAGCCUUCAACAGGGCCAACCCGUCUCUGUGGCAAAAGAGUGGGAAGAUCUUCAGGUAGAGGUGAUAGACCUAUCGAACUUGGUGAUAGCUGGUUGCCUAAGAAAUGGAUAUAAGUCCAGCCUCGUUAUCCUCCCUUCAAACAAGCUUUCAGCCUUAAGAGACAGAGAAAACCACGAGAGUUAGUCAAAGGGGGUACAGCCCCUUUGAACCAGGACACAACCUAACCAGGAGGUUAAGAGUCACACUUAACAAGAUUACCGCUUUAGUGGGCCUAAAAGCAGCCAUCUACAAAGAAAGCGUUAAAGCUCAGACAGAUAAAUAAAUCUAUUAUUCUGAUAAAAUAACCCUAAACCCCUUAUAAUAUUAGGCCAUCCUAUGCACCCAUAGGAGAGAUACUGCUAGAAUGAGUAACAAGAAGACAACCUCUUCUCCACGCCCACGUGUAAGCUAGAUCGGACCCACCACUAAUAUUUAACGAACCCAAUCAAAGAGGGAAAAGUGAUUCUACAACAAAAUCAAGAAAACCCCACAUAAAUUUUAUCGUUAACCCUACACUGGAGAGCUUUAAGGAAAGAUUAAAAGAAAGGGAAGGAACUCGGCAAACACAAGCCUCGCCUGUUUACCAAAAACAUCGCCUCUUGCAAAAAUCAACGUAUAAGAGGUCCCACCUGCCCGGUGACUAUGUUUAACGGCCGCGGUAUUUUGACCGUGCAAAGGUAGCGCAAUCACUUGUCUUUUAAAUAAAGACCUGUAUGAACGGUGAAACGAGGGCUUAACUGUCUCCCCUUUCCAAUCAGUGAAAUUGAUUUACCCGUGCAGAAGCGGGCAUAAACCUACAAGACGAGAAGACCCUAUGGAGCUUAAGACAAAAAUCAACUAUUUUUUUACCUUAAUAAAAAAGAGCAUAGACCAAUAAUAGAAAAUGAUUGAAGUUUUCGGUUGGGGCGACCACGGGAAAAAACAAAUCUCCCACGCGGAAAAUAGACUUUCCUCCUGAACCAUGAGGCACACCUCUAAGUCACAGAAUUUCUGACCACCUAGAUCCGGCAAUUUAGCCGAUCAGCGGACCAAGUUACCCUAGGGAUAACAGCGCAAUCCCCUUUAAGAGUCCAUAUCGACAAGGGGGUUUACGACCUCGAUGUUGGAUCAGGACAUCCUAAUGGUGCAGCCGCUAUUAAGGGUUCGUUUGUUCAACGAUUAAAGUCCUACGUGAUCUGAGUUCAGACCGGAGUAAUCCAGGUCAGUUUCUAUCUGUAAAGCUAUUUCUUCUAGUACGAAAGGAUCGAAGAAAUAAGGCCACUACCCCUGAUAUGCCUUACUUCUACUUAAUGAAACCAACUCAAUUAAAUAAAGAAGAGCAUAAAAUCCCAAAAGAUAUUUGGA